GGAGAUGUAGCUCAGUGGUGGAACAUCUGCGUUGGAUGCAGAAGGCACCAGGUUCAGUCCUUGACAAUUCCA
Molecule: transfer RNA, 72 nt
Filed under: Sphaerodactylus townsendi
Lineage: Eukaryota; Metazoa; Chordata; Lepidosauria; Squamata; Sphaerodactylidae
Description: tRNA-Pro
Rfam family: tRNA
About the family: Transfer RNA (tRNA) molecules are approximately 80 nucleotides in length.
Source: RNAcentral